Molecule: unclassified non-coding RNA, 215 nt
Filed under: Hevea brasiliensis (rubber tree)
Lineage: Eukaryota; Viridiplantae; Streptophyta; Magnoliopsida; Malpighiales; Euphorbiaceae
Source: RNAcentral
UGGUUGAGGGUGCUGAGAAGGUGAACCUCAGAGUAUAGCCUCUGCAAGUUCUCAGGCGAGCGAAGCAACUCAUUGAGUUUUACCUGGUUCCAUGCCACCUCCAUUCCUAGGACUUCAUCAAUUGCCUUGUAUACUGUUUUCAUUGCUCCUUUUCCAAGAAUUUGUUCAAACCGACCAUACCGGCCCGUAGGAUCGGUUUCAACAUAGCCAUGGUC